RNAcentral lists this ribosomal RNA (497 nucleotides) under uncultured bacterium. RNAcentral describes it as "partial 16S ribosomal RNA". It matches the Rfam family "Bacterial small subunit ribosomal RNA", at positions 28 to 507 of the family's 1533-position model. The record is from RNAcentral.
GAUGAACGCUGGCGGCGUGCCUAAUACAUGCAAGUCGAGCGAACGGACGAGAAGCUUGCUUCUCUGAUGUUAGCGGCGGACGGGUGAGUAACACGUGGAUAACCUACCUAUAAGACUGGGAUAACUUCGGGAAACCGGAGCUAAUACCGGAUAAUAUUUUGAACCGCAUGGUUCAAAAGUGAAAGACGGUCUUGCUGUCACUUAUCGAUGGAUCUGCGCUGCAUUAGCUAGUUGGUAAGGUAACGGCUUACCAAGGCAACGAUGCAUAGCCGACCUGAGAGGGUGAUCGGCCACACUAGAGCUGGAACACGGUCCAGAGUCCUACGGGAGGCAGCAGUAGGGAAUCUUACGCAAUGGGCGAAAGCCUGGCGGAGCGACGCCGCGUGAGUGAUGAAGGUCUUCGGAUCGUAAAACUCUGUUAUGAGGGAAGAACAUAUGUGUAAGUAACUGUGCACAUCUUGACGGUACCUAAUCAGAAAGCCACGGCUAACUACGUG